AACGUACGCAGCCUGCUCGUCUUCCACCUCCGGCCAACUUCCUCCCUCUACCGCGCUUCCCUCCCCACAACAGCAGACCACCGGCGCUCCCUGUUCUUCUUCCCCGUGGGCGCGCCCCCUUCAUCCAGGCAGCAGACGACGCACGCACGCCAGGAACGCCCGAGCUCUCCAUCUCUAAUCCAGCGCUCAAGGUUCCACUCCCUCUCUCCUCCAAGCGUGUGGUGUCUUCCCUGCUCCUCCAUGGUGCCCAGAUCCGGCGCGCGCCCCUGCAAAUCUUCACUAGCACACCGGGCUCCUCCCUCCUUGGUGCUCGGCCUCCAUGGAUGCACAUCACCUCCUCCCAUGGACGCCAGCAGCAGGAGCUCCUACUCCCAGGGCGCCUCUCCCCCAUCCAUGGCGUCCGACCCCCUCUCCUUUCUCCUCCCUGCUCGGAGCUCUGCUACGGCACACGCAAAUCCCUCCCCUUUUUGUGCAGCUCACCAUCCCCAGUAGCCGCAAUGUCUCCCUCUGCACCUGUCCGAUUCCAUGGAGGACGACUUCCCCAUGGGCAGGAACUCGACGCCGCCUCCCCAAGUGCAGCCAUGGCUGAGCUUUCCCUUCCCCUGCUCGGGACAAGCCCCUCCCUGCUCCAUUUUUUUCUCUCUCUGCUCUCGGCCGCUAGCAACCAGGGCAUUGGCCCCUGCUCCCUACUACUUCUCCUCUCAGCUUCCUCUCUGCAGUAGAGAGCGCAGGAAUAUGCUCGGCGCUUUAGCGCCCAGCCUUCUGUAGGAGCAGCGCACUCCUCUUCUGAAGCACCUCGCUGGCGCCCUCAUCGUCCAUCGACAACAUCCCAUGGCGCUGCUGUCCCCAUGGUCUCCCUGUUGCGAGAGUUGCCUCGUCGCACUCGUCGUCGGGCUCGAAUCGGGUGUGCGCAUUCCAUCCGCGACAGCGUCGACCCCCGCGGCGGCCUUGUACUCGCGUUGCUCCCCGAGCCGAGACCUUGCACGCAGCAGCAAGUCCCGGAUCCCCUCCGAAUCGCGUGCUUCGCUGGAUCUGUGCAGCCCCAGCUGCUACGACGUCAAAUACUGCUAGAUGUUGUCGCGGCGCCUCGCGCGACGCAUGGUUCGAUGAAGCGCCUAAACCGUGGACGCAUGCGCAACUCGAAUCCGAGUUUGACAGGACCGAGAGAUGACGAUCGUGCAAGUGAUGUGGUGCCAGCCACAAGAUGCAGUGGAUGGACGACCUGAAGAAUGAUGGACUUAUCCAGUGGAUGCUCGCCAAGCGAGUACCUCCUCAGCAAACACUACCUAAGUGUUAAAUUAAAGGACCGAGAGAUGACGAUCGUGCAAGUGAUGUGGUGCCAGCCACAAGAUGCAGUGGAUGGACGACCUGAAGAAUGAUGGACUUAUCCAGUGGAUGCUCGCCAAGUGAGUACCUCCCCAGCAAACACUACCUAAGUGUUAAAUUAAAGGUACCUCCUUGAUUUGGUUGAUGGUAUGACUUGGCCUUCAUCCCUGCCACCGGGAUAGACGGUCGAGUGGGUUACUGCUUCCGCAGGAGAGGACCAAGAGGAGUAGAGUGGCCAGGCUUCGCCAUGUUACUCGGUUCUUCUCCGUUAGUUAUUUCCGCU
RNAcentral lists this unclassified non-coding RNA (1609 nucleotides) under Zea mays. RNAcentral's name for it is "misc RNA Zm00001eb029600". Lineage: Eukaryota; Viridiplantae; Streptophyta; Magnoliopsida; Poales; Poaceae. The record is from RNAcentral.